CUAUACAUGCAGUCGAGCGGAUUCAUCCUUCGGGAUGAGUUAGCGGCGGACGGGUGAGUAACACGUAGGCAACCUGCCUAUAAGACUGGGAUAACUAUCGGAAACGAUAGCUAAGACCGGAUAACUGGUUUUCUCGCAUGAGAGAAUCAUGAAACACGGAGCAAUCUGUGGCUUAUAGAUGGGCCUGCGGCGCAUUAGCUAGUUGGUGAGGUAACGGCUCACCAAGGCGACGAUGCGUAGCCGACCUGAGAGGGUGAACGGCCACACUGGGACUGAGACACGGCCCAGACUCCUACGGGAGGCAGCAGUAGGGAAUCUUCCGCAAUGGACGCAAGUCUGACGGAGCAACGCCGCGUGAGUGAUGAAGGUUUUCGGAUCGUAAAGCUCUGUUGCCCUAGACGAACAGCAAGGCGAGUAACUGCGCUUUGUGUGACGGUAUAGGAGAAGAAAGCCCCGGCUAACUACGUGCCAGCAGCCGCGGUAAUACGUAGGGGGCAAGCGUUGUCCGGAAUUAUUGGGCGUAAAGCGCGCGCAGGCGGUCAAUUAAGUUGGGUGUUUAAGCCCGGGGCUCAACCCCGGUUCGCAUCCAA
Molecule: ribosomal RNA, 590 nt
Filed under: bacterium H3R13print
Lineage: Bacteria
Description: bacterial SSU rRNA
Rfam family: Bacterial small subunit ribosomal RNA
Source: RNAcentral